Molecule: ribosomal RNA, 442 nt
Filed under: uncultured bacterium
Lineage: Bacteria
Description: partial 16S ribosomal RNA
Rfam family: Bacterial small subunit ribosomal RNA
Source: RNAcentral
CCUACGGGUGGCAGCAGUAGGGAAUCUUUCACAAUGGGCGAAAGCCUGAUGGAGCAACGCCGCGUGCAGGAUGAAGGCCUUCGGGUUGUAAACUGCUUUUAUAAGCGAGAAAUAUGAUGGUAACUUAUGAAUAAGGAUCGGCUAACUACGUGCCAGCAGCCGCGGUCAUACGUAGGAUCCGCGCAUGAUCCGGAGUGAAUGGGUGUAAAGAGUUGCGUAGGUGGCAUAAUAAGUAGCUAGGGAAAUCUGGUGGCUCAACCAUUCAGACUAUUAGCGAAACUGUUAAGCUCGAGACCGUUAGAGGUAAGUGGAAUUUCUAGUGUAGGAGUGAAAUCCGUAGAUAUUAGAAGGAACACCAAUAGCGUAGGCAGGUUGCUGGGACGGUACUGACACUGAGGCACGAAAGCGUAGGGAGCAAACGGGAUUAGAUACCCGAGUAGUC